RNAcentral lists this long non-coding RNA (2094 nucleotides) under Macaca fascicularis (crab-eating macaque). RNAcentral's name for it is "lncRNA (ENSMFAG00000060629.1)". The record is from RNAcentral. Lineage: Eukaryota; Metazoa; Chordata; Mammalia; Primates; Cercopithecidae.
CUUCUUGUUGGGCUGCCUUCUGGACCAUAAGUACCUCAAAGGCAUCUGCAUUUGUUCCCCCUGUAACCCAAGCACCUAGCAGUUUCUUUGCCCAAAAACUGGUUGUUGAUUAAUAGGAAAAUUAACCAAUUAAUAAGUCACUGGAGGUGCUGAGAAGCCCAUGGGCCCCUCCUCCUCAUUUCUCUUGGAUUCAGGUCUCUGGAGGCUACUUCUCAGAGCCUCCAAGAUAAGAGCAGCUGAGCCCCAGCCAGGUUGAGCUCAACUACCCGGAUGAAAAGGAGGUACCCUGAGUGCCCGAGGUGAGCCACUCCUGUACCAGGACUCGGAGCUGGGGGGAAAGGAAGGGUACCCAGGCACCAAAUGGAUGACGUACAAAGUCUGUCAGGAGCCUGGGUUAGAGUGGUGAGGACCGUUUGCUCCCUGUGUUUAUUCACAGCUGGAACUGACACUACAGUGCCCACCAGCGGCAGCUCAGCUGCCCUGGCAUCUGGAGCCAGGUGUGAGCCAGGUGUUCACAUCUCUCCCAGGCCCAAACAAACCCCUUAGUUCCCAGGAAGCUAGACAAGGCCUUUUCUCUGGCCACAGCUAUGCUCCAAGAUGGCAGCCUGGAGGUCAAAGCUAAUGACUAGCUGAUACACCUUUAUAGUUGUCUUGCAAACGAUGAUCUAUCACUGGCUCAAAGGCAAACAAUUUUUAGCCAUGGUUAUUUACAAAGCACCCCCACCAAUUUCUGUUUGUCUCUAAGGUACCUGUGCAUGUCCACCUGUUUUCUCCUCAACAAAACAAAACAAAAAACUUCCCAAGAACCCAAGAGCAUCCUGGAGGGAUUCUGGAAGAUUGGGCCAAUCCGAGAUUCUUUGCAGAUGCUGGACAUUUAACUCUAUCAAACUGGUAGGAGUCAUUCCACUCCUACGUAUUUGCUCAAAGGAAAUGAAAGCAUAAGCCCACACAAAGACUAAGGCAUGAAUGUUCACAGCAGCUUUAUUUGUAACAGCCAAAAACUGGAACCAACCCAAAAGUACAUCAGCAAAUGAAAGGAUAAACAACUUGUGUUAUAUCCAUUCAGUGGAAUACUACACAACAAUAAAAAGAAAUGAGCUAUUGAUACAUGCAACAACAUUAACGAAUCAUAAAAUAUUGCUUCUGAAUGAAAGGUACCAGACAAAAAAAAAAUACAUGCUGUAUGAUUCCACUCAUACAAAAUCCUAGACAAUUUUAUCCAGUCUGUAGAAAGCAGAUCUGUAGUGACUGGGAAUUGGAAUGAGGGAGAAGUGACAGGCAUUAUAAAAGGACUUAAGGAAGCUUUUCAGGGUGAUAGGGAUGUUCACUGUCUUGAUUGAUGUGGUGGCUUCAUGGGUCAAAACUUAUCAAAUUGUACACUUUUAAUAUGUACAGUUUAUUCUAUGUCAAUUAUAUCUAAGUAAAGUUACUCCUACAAAUCAGGUAGGAGUAACAAUCGCAAAGUUAUGUCCAGGGCACAGCCUCAGUUAUGCCAAUGGGUUCCACUCUGUAUCCCAGCACCCAGCACAGUGCCAGGCGCACAGGGGCACAACAAAUGUUGCUGAACCUAGUAAAUAAGUUGAUAUUGUCCUAUUUGACUCAUUUGGCCCAGGAGAAACCUUUCCUCCUGGCUUGAUCACAUCCACUGUGAUGUCUGAAGAGCACUCGCAGCUUUAGGAUGAUUAAUCAGAUCCAUAGUAACUACCUCAGCAGAACUGUGAGCAGAGUGCUCCUCAACCCACUGCCUCUUCCUCCCUUCUUCUCCUGCUGGCAGCCCUUUCAGAUGCUCACUCCUCAGAGAACCCCAAUAUUGGUCCCAAGAGAAGAGGUAACCUAGAUCAGUGCCAGAACUCUCUCUCCCCUGGCACAUACGUGUCCCUGCUGAGAGGGGCCUCCCUGGGGCAAGGAAGACAGGCACAGUCCCUGGGCACAGCCUUCUGCCUCUGGGCGGUGGCAGUGUGCCAGGUGUUCUGGCUCCCUCACCCACUGGGGUCUAGUCUUUUAUCCACCCCUCACAGGACAGGACCAACCAGGUAACCCUGAGGGGGAAGCAACAGCAAACAGGAGUCACAGGAGGGGAAAAAAAAAAAAAAA